GACGAACGCUGGCGGCGUGCUUAACGCAUGCAAGUCGAACGGAAAGGCCCCUUUGGGGGUACUCGAGUGGCGAACGGGUGAGUAACACGUGAGUAACCUGCCCUUGACUUCGGGAUAACUUCAGGAAACUGGGGCUAAUACCGGAUAGGAAUCCUUGCUGCAUGGUGGGGGUUGGAAAGCUUCGGCGGUUUUGGAUGGACUCGCGGCUUAUCAGCUUGUUGGUGGGGUAGUGGCUUACCAAGGCUUUGACGGGUAGCCGGCCUGAGAGGGCGACCGGCCACAUUGGGACUGAGAUACGGCCCAGACUCCUACGGGAGGCAGCAGUGGGGAAUAUUGCACAAUGGGCGGAAGCCUGAUGCAGCAACGCCGCGUGCGGGAUGACGGCCUUCGGGUUGUAAACCGCGUUCAGCAGGGGCGAAGCUUGUGGUGACGGUACCUGCAGAAGAAGCACCGGCUAACUACGUG
This 465-nucleotide ribosomal RNA is filed under the name uncultured bacterium. RNAcentral describes it as "partial 16S ribosomal RNA". It matches the Rfam family "Bacterial small subunit ribosomal RNA", at positions 28 to 507 of the family's 1533-position model. The record is from RNAcentral.